ACACGCUUCCCCACUGAGGGAAGACCAUGUGACUAUACAACAGGAAGGUAGUUGUUUACAAGCCAGGAAGAGAGCCCUCACCAGAAACCAAAUUGGCUGGCGCCUUGAUCAUGGACUCCUGGGCUCCGGAACUGUAAGAAAAUUUGUGUUGUGGAAGCCACCCAGCCCAUGGUAUUUCGUUAUGGCAGCCUGAGCAGAGGUGGUAGCUAUGUGGACAGUUUUUGGACUUCUCUAUUGUUGCCCUUCAUCACUCAGCAGUGAAGAAUGAAAAUCAACAGAGCUUUCCCCAGCCUGCUGCUUAAGCAGCUGCUAGCAGGCUGAGGCUGCCCAGCCUCAUUAACCCAUUAGAUGCUGCGUUCGCCCGGGAGUCAUUCUUAAUGAGGCUGCUGCAGAGACGGCGUUUCACCAUGUUGCCCAGACUGGUCUCGAACUCCUGGCUUCAAGUGAUCCUCCUGCCUCAACCUCCCAAAGUGCUGGUAUUACAGAUGAGAAAACAGAAGCAAAGGCAGAAAGAUGCUACAUUGCCAGCUUUGAAGAUGGAGGGAAGAGGUCACAAACCAAGGAAGGCAAUGAGGACGUUGCACAAGACAGUCCCUGAUACCCAGAGUUUACUGCCUAAGAGAGGAUACAUCCUUCAAACCAAUAAUCUGCUAAUAGCAAGAUCCAAUAGCUUCAUGGAUAUUGAAAGAAACUGAGAAUCAAAUUUGCAUACUUCUGAGUCACUUGGAAACAAAAAACAAGUACAGUCUUAGAUUCUGAGGGAACAAAAAUUAAAAAUCACAUUAGGAAGAGAAUUCCUAAUGUAGGAACUCAUCCUGGAAGAUUCUUCAGCAAAAGUACAGACAAUAAUAAUAAUACUCCAUGAAGUUACCAUCGAUAUUGAAUGAAUUAAUGAAUGUAAAAACCUCAAAACCCUGCCUGGCCCAGAGCUUUGGAAUGGGUUUGGAUCUACCACUCAACUGCUUUAUGACUUCAGACCAGUUAUUUAAAUUCCCUGAAGCUCAGUUUCCACAUCUUUGAGUGCAGCCCGGAGAGCUGUGAGCAGUGCCACAGGAGGAGAUGACUGGUGAGUGAAAUAAGCAAGAUAGGAGUUGAAGUGUACAUGAAGCAGAGUCCAAGCCUUCUCCUUCUGGAUGUUCAGCUGGAUCAUCCUGACUGCUCCCACUUUCAUCUUGGCUUUCAAAGGCAAGAGGAAAUUAUAAGGAAUAUUCUGAGUGGCUUUCAUCCAGGAGUUCUGUGGGACCCGCAACACCUGGAUGGUAGAUGCAAACAGAUAAAGAAUAUUGGUCACCAAAAGGAGUUCUUUUCAUCAUAGAUCUCUGAAGGUAGACACCUAUUUGCAGACUUCUCAAAGGGCUAUAUGGAUGUGCUCUACUUGUUGGAGGAUUGUCCAUCCACUCUUCUUCCUGUACUUACCAGGACAGAACAGCCGCAACUUCUCAGACAGUUCAUUCUUCUUUUCCUCACCUACUACCAUCUAAGAAAGGUACUUGAUGACUGUGGCUUUAGACAAGAGUCCUUUUCUUACCACAGGGUGGGCAGCACCAGCUCAUUAGAACCAUUUGUGUGACUGACUGAAGACAGCUCACCUUGGAACACUGCAGGCCUCCAAAGAAGUCUACAAAUUCCAUCAGUCAGUAACGGCUUGGAGUUCCAAAGCUUAUGACUCAAAGGUGAUCAGAGCAUGGACCUGGGGCUAGUCUGGAUUGGUAACUGCUAAACUUGGAUACAUGGCUUCUGAUGGCCCUGCUGGGGAGACCAUGUGGAGAGAUGGCAUAGAGCCAGAGAUUCACGUUCCAGGAGCCCUGACUGUCUCAUCUCAGGGAAUUGAAUCUCCUUGUGCUCCAGACCCUAUGAGAGGAUGCCAUCCCCUGCUACCAUCUGACUGCAACCUCAGGAGACACCCCAAGCCAGAACUGAGCAGCCAAGCCACUCUCAUAUUCUUGACCCAUAGACAUUGGGAGAUAAAAACUGAUUGUUGUCAAUUUUAGUCAGUACAUUUUAGGGCAAUUUGAUGUCCUAGCAAUAGACUAGUAUAUUUAUCCAUUGCUGCAUCUUCUUCUGCUUAGAUUAUGAUGCAUGUUUUUUAGCUCCAACUAGUAUCUAAACUUGUCAUGGUCUUUGCUUGAAAGUUUGAUUUUUUGCUGCCCUUGAACUUUACCCCUGAUUCCAAUUUACCCAUUUGUUUUGGUUUAGUUUAAGGAGAUUGUAAACAAGUAUGCCUACAAGGGCCAUGCAACAAAUGCUAAAAAGAGAAGUAGACCUGGGCAGGGAGGCAAGGGAGCGGAAAGAUGUGUAGUACGUUCAGCUCAGGUCACGUUCAUCAUCCAGCUCUGGAAGAUGGAUCCAGUGGGCAUGUGUGCCUAAUGAUGCCACAUUAUCUGAUUUUUUUCUCCAAAAGAAAAAUCAAGAUUUUUAUUAAAAAUCUUCUGGUUUAAAAAAAUUUAAAUGCUAUUCAAAUUUCAAUAACAACCAUGCCAGAUAAAAAAUAGCUACUGACUGAACUUAGCCAUGAUCUGCCAACUUGCAACCUCCAAAUUAGAAGUUUUUAGCCACUAUGGAUGUUAGGAAGACCUGAAACACAGAAUAGAGAGAUUCCAAUUUUUCUAGUGACAAUGAGUCCUGAGAAAGGUGACAAAAUCAGAAUAACCUUUGGAGAAAGAUAAAUGCUACUAUCAGUGGAAUGGGAUUCAGUCUUCAGCCUGUUGUAGUAAUUCAGUAAGCACAUGUGGUCAUUGAGUGAACUCGCAUGGCCAAUACAAGGUAAGCUUGGCGGUUCCUUCUAUGUCAAACGUUCUAUUUAAAUAGAGAGAAAAGAGGAGUAAUAAUUGUUAAAACCCUUUUGCAGUUUUAAAAAGGCAUAUAAAUAGUAAAGGACCAGUUACCUUGCUUGAGAAAUUUGUACAGUACCUAGUUGUUCCUGAAAGAGUGUACUGACAGGAGCUGAAAAGCCUACCUGGAAGAGAAUAUGGUCCCAAAUUCCAAAGGCAGAAAGGAACACAGGUUAAAUAGAAGGAGCAGUAACAACCCAGACCAGAGAAGCCAGGCAAAGCCUUGGAGACUAGGUAUACAUAGGAGAUAGCAGUUCUCAAUUCCCAUUCCCUUUGUGCCAAGCACAGGCACCGUGAUCCUUCACUGAAGCUCAGUGAACACUGUUCUCAGAGAGAGGUCCUGUCAGCAUCCACCUACCGAACCAUCAAAUGUGUAUCUGUCUCAGUUCUGCUUGGGAGCCUGAUACAGAUCUUUCCAUCACUCAUGAAGGCCCUAGAAUGCAUCCUCUUUUUUUUUUUUUCCUUCUGGAAAAUAUCAACCAGUUUUGGUAGAUUUUACCUUUCCAUUCUCUGUGUCCCUCCAUUAUUUUGGUCAACUCACCUCUGAAAACAGCAAAGCCUCUCAGGUCUACCGUGGGACACGCAGAAUUACAAGCUGAGCUACCCUCUGGGAUGGAAGCAGGGGUCUGGGAGGGUGGCACUAACGCUUAAUAUUAUUGAGUUAAAAUCUCAAUAAAUUAUCCCAGUAAAUCAUACAAUCAGAAAGACAAAGUCCUUGCCAAUAAAUAUGCACAACUCUCUGCCUAGAGACAAACCCACCUUGAGUUCACUCACGCAACCCAAUACCCAUAAACUACUCUCCAUAAAGCAAUGGAAAAGAGGAGCUGAGGUUAACAAAGUUCUUUCAGCCUACCCACGUAGGCUGACAUUUAUCUGCAUGCAUAGAACUCACAACAUUUAUUGUAGCAGAGUACAUAUUUCAGAAAACUGAUUUUGCUUUUUCCUAUAGCUGAUAACCUGGAAAAUACAGUCAUCUGUACUCUGUCUCCCAGGCGAUAGUGCAAAUCAGUAAAGAGUUUCCAUUGAUGGUUCUUUUGCAGACUCUAACCACAAUUGAACUCUCUGCUUUCCAUCAGUCGCCCACCCUGUUGUGUACAAAGAAGCAGAUAUGCAAUAUAGCAGGAGCCCCAAGAAAAGGUCUGGCUGUUCUGUCAAAACUAUUUAGUUCAAUAUUGUUCUCAAUGUGGCACCAUAGCCCUGGACAUGACACCCAGCACGUCCAAACAGACAUGAUUAUAUAUGAGACAGAAAGGCACUUACAUCACUGCGGGUUGUUAUGCUUUAAAGGGCUUUUUCCCCCCUCUUCAAAUUAAAAGUUUUCAAAAAUGAAAUAAAAAUAAACCUUUGAAGAAACCAGAUUGAGACUGAAUUUGGAAGGCCCUCCUGCCUAGUGUAUACUAAAGAAACAUUUUCUGGGUUUGUCCCUGAUGAUUUUCCUUGUAGUUGAGAAACACAAUCCACUGGAAGCUUUUGUGGCAGAACAAGAAUUUUAUGAACACGAACUUUACAAAGACUUCCCUAGGAGAUUUAAGGUCUGGAAAUCAAUAGAUCAAUCAGCAGCUUUUAUCAAUCUAUAAUGGUUCUCUCUCUUUGGAUGUUUGGAUGAAAAUGGGAUCAACGUAAAUUGAACAUGGAAUCACUUAUUCUUACAAGUUAAAUUUGUCAAACUGUAAGGCACAUAAAUGACAUGAAAUGUAAUCAUUUUUGAAUUUGGGACCCUACAGGGUGCACGUUGAUUGAAGAAAAAACAAGCAGAUGUUGCUUCAGCAUAACUCAUAGAGGCAAUCUAAAUGUUCUUCAAUCCCUGACACUUCUGAUCGUUUCCCAAAUAAACCAGUUCAUUAGUUAA
This 4680-nucleotide long non-coding RNA is filed under the name Homo sapiens (human). Its description in RNAcentral is "long independently transcribed non-coding RNA 2955, transcript variant 15 (LINC02955)". The record is from RNAcentral. Lineage: Eukaryota; Metazoa; Chordata; Mammalia; Primates; Hominidae.